RNAcentral lists this ribosomal RNA (468 nucleotides) under uncultured bacterium. RNAcentral describes it as "partial 16S ribosomal RNA". It matches the Rfam family "Bacterial small subunit ribosomal RNA", at positions 28 to 507 of the family's 1533-position model. The record is from RNAcentral.
GACGAACGCUGGCGGCGUGCUUAACACAUGCAAGUCGAACGGAGAGGCCCUGCUUUUGUGGGGUGCUCGAGUGGCGAACGGGUGAGUAACACGUGAGUAACCUGCCCUUGACUUUGGGAUAACUUCAGGAAACUGGGGCUAAUACCGGAUAGGAGCUCCUGCUGCAUGGUGGGGGUUGGAAAGUUUCGGCGGUUGGGGAUGGACUCGCGGCUUAUCAGCUUGUUGGGGGGGUAGUGGCUUACCAAGGGUUUGACGGGUAGCCGGCCUGAGAGGGUGACCGGCCACCUUGGGACUGAGAUACGGCCCAGACUCCUACGGGAGGCAGCAGUGGGGAAUAUUGCACAAUGGGCGGAAGCCUGAUGCAGCAACGCCGCGUGCGGGAUGACGGCCUUCGGGUUGUAAACCGCUUUCGCCUGUGACGAAGCGUGAGUGACGGUAAUGGGUAAAGAAGCACCGGCUAACUACGUG